RNAcentral lists this unclassified non-coding RNA (307 nucleotides) under Agaricostilbales sp. RNAcentral describes it as "partial contains 5.8S ribosomal RNA, internal transcribed spacer 2, and large subunit ribosomal RNA". The record is from RNAcentral. Lineage: Eukaryota; Fungi; Basidiomycota; Agaricostilbomycetes; Agaricostilbales.
CGCAUCUUGCGCUCUUGGGUUAUUCCUAAGAGCAUGCUUGUUUGAGUAACAGAAAAGCUCAACCCCGCUUUCUUAAUUGAGAGUAGAAGGGUUAGGAUCGUGGCAGUCUGUAAUGUUAACUCGUUACUCUGCCGAAAGACAAGCGGCCGAACUUUUGAGUUUUGCGCUGACACUAUUGUUGUAACACUUCGGUCUCAAUAGUUAGCAUUACUCUUCAAACAGUAGGCUUUGAAAACCUCUAGUGAUUUAGUCACUAUACCUUUUUUAGCUUGUUCUCAAAUCAAGUAGGACUACCCGCUGAACUUAA